AGCUUGGUGAGUAGAGGAGCAACAACACCUCCGGCGAAGCAGAGCAGGAGUGGCGAGUGGUGGGAUUACUCGUGUUCCACCCGCGGCGUCCUUAGCAGGGAAGAACGAAAAUGAAGAUGGUUCCCGGUAGCUUGGCUUUAUGAGUUGAGCCUAAGUUGGCGUUGUUUUAUGAUGUUAAGCGAAUGAGGCACAGAAGAUUAAGUCACUGGAGUGCGCUA
Long non-coding RNA from Ipomoea nil (Japanese morning glory), 218 nucleotides. RefSeq lists it as uncharacterized. The transcript has 3 exons. NCBI's taxonomy places the organism in Eukaryota, Viridiplantae, Streptophyta, Magnoliopsida, Solanales, Convolvulaceae. The record is from RefSeq and is a predicted model, not a curated record.